Molecule: ribosomal RNA, 274 nt
Filed under: uncultured bacterium
Lineage: Bacteria
Description: partial 16S ribosomal RNA
Rfam family: Bacterial small subunit ribosomal RNA
Source: RNAcentral
AUACGGAGGGGGUUAGCGUUGUUCGGAAUUACUGGGCGUAAAGCGCACGUAGGCGGUUUGGUAAGUCAGAUGUGAAAGCCCACGGCUCAACCCUGGAACUGCCUCCAAAACUAACAGUCUAGAGUUCGAGAGAGGUGAGUGGAAUUCCAAGUGUAGAGGUGAAAUUCGUAGAUAUUUGGAGGAACACCAGUGGCGAAGGCGGCUCACUGGCUCGAUACUGACGCUGAGGUGCGAAAGCGUGGGGAGCAAACAGGAUUAGAAACCCCAGUAGUCC